Long non-coding RNA from Mercenaria mercenaria, 455 nucleotides. RefSeq lists it as uncharacterized. NCBI's taxonomy places the organism in Eukaryota, Metazoa, Mollusca, Bivalvia, Venerida, Veneridae. The record is from RefSeq and is a predicted model, not a curated record. The transcript is spliced from 3 exons.
AACAGCUUCUGCCAUAACAGGUACAUUCUGACCAAAUACAACAGCUUCUGCCAUAACAGGUACAUUCUGACCAAAUACAACAGCUUCUGCCAUAACUGGUACAUUCUGACCAAAUACAACAGCUUCUGCCAUAACAGGUACAUUCUGACCAAAUACAACAGCUUCUGCCAUAACAGGUACAUUCUGACCAAAUACAACAGCUUCUGCCAUAACAGGUACAUUCUAACCAAAUACAACAGCUUCUGCCAUAACAGGUACAUUCUAACCAAAUACAACAGCUUCUGCCAUAACUGGUACAUUCUGACCAAAUACAACAGCUUCUGCCAUAACAGGUACAUUCUGACCAAAUACAACAGCUUCUGCCAUAACAGGUACAUUCUGACCAAAUACAACAGCUUCUGCCAUAACAGGUACAUUCUGACCAAAUACAACAGCUUCUGCCAUAACUGGUACAU